Molecule: ribosomal RNA, 250 nt
Filed under: uncultured prokaryote
Description: partial 16S ribosomal RNA
Rfam family: Bacterial small subunit ribosomal RNA
Source: RNAcentral
UACGUAGGGAGCGAGCGUUGUCCGGAUUUACUGGGUGUAAAGGGUGCGUAGGCGGGGCAGCAAGUCAGGCGUGAAAUACCGAGGCUUAACUUCGGAGCUGCGCUUGAAACUGUCGCUCUUGAGUGAAGUAGAGGCAAGCGGAAUUCCUAGUGUAGCGGUGAAAUGCGUAGAUAUUAGGAGGAACACCAGUGGCGAAGGCGGCUUGCUGGGCUUUAACUGACGCUGAAGCACGAAAGCAUGGGGAGCAAAC